UGCCAUCCGCCGCGGUAAUACGGAGGGUGCAAGCGUUGUUCGGAAUUAUUGGGCGUAAAGAGCAUGUAGGCGGACUGUUAAGUCUGGCGUGAAAGCCCGGGGCUCAACCCCGGAAGUGCGUUGGAUACUGGCAAACUAGAGUGUAUGAGGGGUACCUGGAAUUCCUAGUGUAGGAGUGAAAUCCGUAGAUAUUAGGAGGAACACCAAUGGCGAAGGCAGGGUACUGGCAUAUUACUGACGCUGAGGCACGAAAGCGUGGGGAGCGAACCGGAUUAGAUA
RNAcentral lists this ribosomal RNA (279 nucleotides) under uncultured bacterium. Its description in RNAcentral is "partial 16S ribosomal RNA". It matches the Rfam family "Bacterial small subunit ribosomal RNA", at positions 506 to 784 of the family's 1533-position model. The record is from RNAcentral.